UUGCUAGGCAACGGCGGGCGGUUUGCCAGGUGUUUGCUGACGCAACCCCCACUGGCUGGGGCCUGGUUAAUCAUCAGCUCGCUGCUUAUAAGGCGGGUCGCUUUCCGCGACCUUUGCCCAUCCACUGCGCGGAGCUGAUCGCCGCCUGUCUCGCUCGCCGCUGGUCGGGGGCUCGAGUGUUGGGGGUCGACAAUACCAUCGUGUGCUCCGGGAAGUUCACGCACUUCCCAUGGCUGCUCGGCUGCACUGCGAACUGGAUGCUGCG
Molecule: regulatory RNA element, 265 nt
Rfam family: Hepatitis B virus post-transcriptional regulatory element 1151-1410
About the family: Part of 500 base pair long HBV PRE, contains nucleotides 1151-1410. Enhances nuclear export of intronless transcripts and represses the splicing mechanism to a comparable degree to that of the full-length PRE.
Source: Rfam